Molecule: long non-coding RNA, 157 nt
Organism: Erinaceus europaeus (western European hedgehog)
Lineage: Eukaryota; Metazoa; Chordata; Mammalia; Eulipotyphla; Erinaceidae
Exons: 2
Source: RefSeq, a predicted model, not a curated record
AAAAAGAAGAACAGGAUGACCAAAUUCUACAUCAAUAUCAGAUAAUGAAAGACAAGGACACUGCAUUCAAAGACCAGCUUAUAUAAAUGCAUUGGGGAGGGGUCUGGAGGAUGAAUGGAGGGUUUACUCUACUCUGUUGCAUGAGUACAGGUAAGAA